This 1342-nucleotide long non-coding RNA is filed under the name Equus caballus (horse). RNAcentral's name for it is "lncRNA (ENSECAG00000060226.1)". The record is from RNAcentral. Lineage: Eukaryota; Metazoa; Chordata; Mammalia; Perissodactyla; Equidae.
UGAACAUUCAGCCAAAACAUCAGGCACAGUCCAUGAACUGGUAUAUAAUUCAUGCACUGACCAUUUCUCCUUCCAAGUCAAGUGAACAUCCAGGUACACUGUCCAAAAUUCUGCCCAAUGGGAGGAUUUCCAUUCAUGACUGUCCUUCAGGGGGUCCCAGAGAUGAGCUGUAGAGCUGCAACUGUCUCCUUUUGAGAGGUGCCUGCAUAUCACGCCAAACUAUCUGUAAGCCAGGCCCAAGUCUUCUCUUCCUCUGUCAAUUGAUCAUAGGGAACUCCCCAUGAGGCCAUGGGUGCAGGCUGGGAGAGAGAAGGCAUUGCGGCAGGAGUGGAGACCAGGGACAUCUUGGAGAUAAGCUAAAUGUUGCAAUACCUUUCUACUCCUUUUCUCUUUGAAUUCAAGAUGAUCCCUGACGCUGUGCUGUCAAGUGGUUAGCCACGUGUAUUGUACCCGUAUCACCAUUACUGCUCAUAUAAACAAGACUUUUACUUCACUUUAAGCUGCAUUCUUUACCCUCUUAUCUCCUGGAUUUUUUAAAAUUGUUUUUUGUGUUGUGUUAGUGUUUGCUUCCAUGAGGAGACCAUGUGAUGGUGGAGAGGCAUGGACAAAAUCACCACUGCCAUGGAGGAACACGUCUGAUUAGUUGGGAGAACAGCCUUGUCUUGAGCAGUUCUCCGCUGGGCAGGGAGCAGGAUUUUGAGACCCGGGGGCUAGGCCUGGUACCAGGAGAAGAAUGGAGCCUCAAGGAGAAAGGAGUAGAAAGCCCCAGUCAAAAUUUGACUGGGCAGACAGGCUCAGAGAGUUCACCUUACCUGGCCAUCAAGUCCAAGCUCUGGAGGGAGACUCAAAAGCUGGAGAAAAGAACCCUGAGUCAGUACCUGAAUCCAGCCAACCAAUGGGCAAAACUGACCGAGCAAGUCAAGCUGCUGAAAACGUCCUUGGAGUGUCCCUGGUUACUUCCCGUGGCCACAGCCUGGCUGUACCUCUCCAGGACACACAGUGGACUGUGAUGCUACCGAGUACUACGUAGAGAUAUCCACUGUCCUAAAGUUGGAGGCUAUCAUUCCUAAGCGAUGAGCAAGCACCUAGUGAAGCUGCAAAUGCGCGAUCUCCAUGACUUUGUGAUUUGCCUUCUAGGUAUCUAUUUUAAAGGAACUCUCACACAUGUGCACGAGAGACAUUUUUAAGAAACUUAAUCACAGCAUUGUUCAUCGCCGUGAAAAAAUGUGACUAACAUAAUAGCCCUCAGUAGAGGGAUGAAUAAAGAAACCCUGGUUUAGUCAUACAAUGCAACCCUAUUUGUCAGCUGAAAAAAUGCCUUGGAGCUUAUGAACUGCAGAAG